Molecule: transfer RNA, 69 nt
Filed under: Mantella baroni
Lineage: Eukaryota; Metazoa; Chordata; Amphibia; Anura; Mantellidae
Description: tRNA-Val
Rfam family: tRNA
About the family: Transfer RNA (tRNA) molecules are approximately 80 nucleotides in length. Their secondary structure includes four short double-helical elements and three loops (D, anti-codon, and T loops).
Source: RNAcentral
CAAAAUGUAGCUUAAAUAAAGCCUUUCGCUUACACCGAAAUUAUAUCUGUUAAAUUCAGAUCAUUUUGA